CCUAGCUGUGUUGGCUUUCUAACCCGCACCACUUAUCGUGGUGGGAGACAGUGUCAGGCGGGCAGUUUGACUGGGGCGGUCGCCUCCUAAAAGGUAACGGAGGCGCUCAAAGGGUCCCUCAGAAUGGUUGGAAAUCAUUCAUAGAGUGUAAAGGCAUAAGGGAGCUUGACUGCGAGACCUACAAGUCGAGCAGGGUCGAAAGACGGACUUAGUGAUCCGGUG
RNAcentral lists this ribosomal RNA (222 nucleotides) under Staphylococcus aureus. RNAcentral describes it as "partial 23S ribosomal RNA". It matches the Rfam family "Bacterial large subunit ribosomal RNA", at positions 2204 to 2425 of the family's 2925-position model. The record is from RNAcentral. Lineage: Bacteria; Bacillati; Bacillota; Bacilli; Caryophanales; Staphylococcaceae.